This 730-nucleotide ribosomal RNA is filed under the name Trachipterus jacksonensis (dealfish). RNAcentral's name for it is "partial 12S ribosomal RNA". It matches the Rfam family "Bacterial small subunit ribosomal RNA", at positions 449 to 1366 of the family's 1533-position model. Lineage: Eukaryota; Metazoa; Chordata; Actinopteri; Lampriformes; Trachipteridae. The record is from RNAcentral.
AAGGGCCUGACUUUUAUUGGCUCUGAUUAUACUUAUACAUGCAAGUAUCACGCUCCUGUGAGAAUGCCCUCAACCCCCGACCGGGGCUAAGGAGCUGGUAUCAGGCUCAAUAUCUUAGCCCAAACCCUUGCUUCCCACACCCCCAGGUAUCCAUAAUAAACAUCCACCGCGGUUAUACGAGGGGCCCAAGUCAAUAGCCCCCGGCGUAAAGGGUGGUUAGGAUUUUCCCCAAAAACUAAGGCCCAACAUUCUCAAGGCUGUUAUACGCACCCGAGAAAUGGAAGAACCUCUACGAAAGUGGCCUUAAUUCACUGAACCCACGAAAGCUACAGAACAAACUGGGAUUAGAUACCCCACUAUGUGUAGCCGUAAACUCUGAUAGCCCCCUCACAUAGCUAUCCGCCCGGGUACUACGAGCAUUAGCUUAAAACCCAAAGGACUUGGCGGUGCCUUAGACCCCCCUAGAGGAGCCUGUUCUAGAACCGAUACCCCCCGUUCAGACCUCACCAUCUCUUGUCAUAACUGCCUAUAUACCGCCGCCGUCAGCUUACCCUGUGAAGGUGUAAUAGUAAGCAUUAAUGGUACAGCCUCAAACGUCAGGUCGAGGUGUAGCGCAUGAGAUGGUAGAAAUGGGCUACAUUCUCUGACUCAGGGAAUUACGGAAGGAGAGUUGAAAUACUCUCCUGAAGGAGGAUUUAGCAGUAAGCGAAAAAUAGAGCGUCCCGCUGAA